UAGCUUAAUUUGCUGGUCAAAUAAAACACGUCUUUAAUCAAUUCAAUGGCAGCUUUCAUUUUAAAAGUUGCAGUGUGGGACCACUAUCGGUGCUGCUACACUGCCACUGAAAGAAAGAGAAAUCAGUUUGUAUAUAGGAAGUUGAUUGUCAAAUGUUGAUAAUGACGAAACUAAUGGUGACCAUUCUGCGAAAAGAGCUAAUGUGUCAACGAUGUUGGUGGUGUUGGGUCAGUUACCUUCUUGAAAUAUAAUUCAGCCUCGUAUAAAAAUGGGUGAACCAUCGAAUAGUGAUAAUAUAAGUAAUGAUUGCCUCAUUUGUGACAAAAUCGGAUGUAGUUCUGAAUUAAUCUCUGAACUAGGAGAUACUAUAAAAGUCACUAGAGGAAUAUCAACACUGAAAGCUGCUUCUGCGGAAAGAGCGGAUGGACUUUCUCAGUAUUUAAAAACUCGCGAAUUUGUAUACGUGCAUUCAGUAUGCAGACAAAAAUAUAUCAAUAAAGGGUGUAUUAAUUCUUAUUUAAAAAAAAAAAACACCACACCAGCAUGCUCUCCACCUAAAAAAACUUCGAGCGGUUACUUCAAUUGAUUUUGAUUGGAAAAAUAUGUGCUUUUUUUGUGAAAAAGAAGCGGAUGAAUUGAAGGAAAAAAGAAAAUCCAAAUCUUCAAGACACCAAAUCAGCUACGUAACUACUUCUGAUUUCAAGAAAAUGAUAUUAAAUUUGAUAAGUGAAGAGAGAAGUGACAAUAUGCAAUAUCCAUAAAAGAAUUGUAGGCGUGCUAGAUUUAGCAGCUCAGGAAGCUAAGUAUCACGCGGAUUGUUAUAUGCGUUUAAAAAAUACCGUAAAACAGACCCAGA
Molecule: long non-coding RNA, 856 nt
Organism: Bactrocera tryoni
Lineage: Eukaryota; Metazoa; Arthropoda; Insecta; Diptera; Tephritidae
Exons: 2
Source: RefSeq, a predicted model, not a curated record